UUUAUGAUGAUAUUUUGGUCCGUGUUUAUGAAUUUUAAAUGAUUUCAACCCCUCCAUGUCUGACAAUA
This is a non-coding RNA of Lutzomyia longipalpis, 68 nucleotides long. NCBI's taxonomy places the organism in Eukaryota, Metazoa, Arthropoda, Insecta, Diptera, Psychodidae. The record is from Rfam.